GAUGCACCCAUCUCCAUCGUGCCUUUCAUUAGGCGGACUGAUCCUUCCUCUUCCAUCUCCACCGUCGAUUCUGUUGACGUUGACUUGUUCUCGUACGCCGCGUAUAGAAUCAACUGCACUGACCCCAACAAGAAGCCUAUUGAAUUUGGUACCUGUAAUUUUACAAUUUUAUUAAUUAGGCUUUUUUUUUUAAUUUUUAUAAGUACAAAUAAUAAAAAUCUAUGAUUAAAUUGAAUAUAAACAGAGAACUUACUCCGAUAUAAAUAUCUUUUACAAGUAUAGCAUAGACUGACCAGACAACAGCGUUGAAAAAUAAAAAAAACGAGAGUAGAAACGGCAUGUACUUUACACUCUUCGUCUUUACUACUGCUCUCUGUUUCAAAUUACUACGAUCAAUUAGAAAAAAAACGCUCAAUGAUUAUAGUAAAUAAGCUAGUUUUAAAUAUUUUGUCACGUACCAUGACGGAUAAAGGAGAAGCAUACAUGCCAAUGGUGAAUACGGCACAUAAAAUUCCGGCGAACGUUAGCCGGAGAUUUUCAUGCAUGGCUAAGAGAGUAACUAGGAUUACCGAUCCAAGAAAACCGACAUUUAGUACCACGAUCGAUCUCGCUGUCUUAACCUAAUCGCACACAUGCACAAGUUUAAUUGUAAUAAGUUCGAGUUUACGAAAUUAAUCAUAAUUACUAUUGUUUUAACAGUAAAAUAUGAUGAUUAGUGUUGUUUAAUAGUGAUUUAAUUACGUAAAUUUAAAUACGGUGAUGUUAAUUUAAUUUUAGUAGUAUUUUAAUUUGAAGUGACCUUAAUGUUUUUAGGAGCAUAAGCAAGGAAGAGGGCGACGUAGACCAACUGGAAGACGACGCCGGCGCCGUUGACGGUGACGACAAGCAAGCCUCCCGGUUUGAGAAGUCCAUAGAAACUCCACAAGCUUGUACUCAGCAGUGUCGUUAUGUAUGGAUCUCCU
This 962-nucleotide long non-coding RNA is filed under the name Carica papaya (papaya). Its description in RNAcentral is "long non-coding RNA (CPAP_LNC008826)". The record is from RNAcentral. Lineage: Eukaryota; Viridiplantae; Streptophyta; Magnoliopsida; Brassicales; Caricaceae.